AAUUAAAUAUUCAUUCCAUUUUUAUUAUUAUAGCUUAGCCUAGAGAAUUAAGUAAACAUGUGUUACUUCACUCCUACACACCGUUUAAACGCAGCUAACAGGCUUUCUGAAUAAACCAGCCCGCCCCCGGCGGUAUCAGGAGUUAGGUUCCGCAUAUGCUGUCGCCAGGCUGCAGCCGCCUGAGGGGACUCGCCCGGGGCCCCGCCCUCAGAGCUCACACCCGCCGUGCGCUCGCGCCCCAGGGGCCGCCCCCCGACACUCCAGUGCGACUCUGCGUGCACAGGCCAGAGGCUCAGAACCAGCGCCGGGCUGCCCUGCUCGGCCUCCUGGGCGCAGCGGCGUUUGCCCGUGCACGUGCCCUCGCAUCGCGCGCUCCGGGGCCGGGCUCCGGGCGGUUCUCGCCGCUGCAGUUCCACCGGGACUUCCGCGCUUCGGCGGCCUGUCUGACGAGCCGCCGCGCCCAGAGAGGUUCAGGUUGGAGCGACACUUGCCAGAGGGCAGCGGUCACGCCAGAUCUUCGGCUUCCAUUCCGUUUUCGCGCGCUUCUCCCUCUUUGCAAGCUCUGGAUUCUCUUUGUUCUUUCCCAGUAGAGGAAUCCCAAGGAGGACUGAUCCGUUUUGGCAGGUGCACAACCAUGGAGUGAAAUCAUACAGUAUUUCUUUCUCUGUCUGACUUAUUUUGCUCAAGAUCCAUCCAUGUUGUCUCACAUGGGAGGAGUUUGUCUGUUUUUAUGGACUGGCCCUGAGCUCCAGCAUACUAUUGGCCAAGAACACAUGAUACCUGAUUUUCACUGAGGGGCUCAUUUAGAGAUGCUCCUUUUAUGUGGGACCCAGCGGUACUACCAGGAUGAGAAGUGCUCAAAGGAA
Molecule: long non-coding RNA, 866 nt
Filed under: Equus asinus (donkey)
Lineage: Eukaryota; Metazoa; Chordata; Mammalia; Perissodactyla; Equidae
Description: lncRNA (ENSEASG00005034529.1)
Source: RNAcentral